Molecule: long non-coding RNA, 1953 nt
Organism: Harpia harpyja (harpy eagle)
Lineage: Eukaryota; Metazoa; Chordata; Aves; Accipitriformes; Accipitridae
Exons: 2
Source: RefSeq, a predicted model, not a curated record
GCAGAUUUCCAAGUCCAGCUUGCCUUUUGCAUUCUUUACAGCAACAAGAAUGCCCCGGACUGACUCGGUGUGGUUUGUAAGUGAGUGUAGUGAAGCUGCCUCCCACCUGCCUCUGAAGAAAACUUGGUGUGGUGCAUCAGGGCGCUGCGGACUUGAGAAGCUGCUGUCAACAAACCCAAGGAGACAAGAAAGAGCCCACGGCCCUUUGGUGAUUGACAGAUUCAGUCACUUAAAUGCUGAGCCCAAAGCUGAAGCCUGAGCAGGGUCUGCUUCACAGAACUAUGUGAAAACCAUUGGAAACUGUUUUCAUUUUAGCUUGUCAUUUAAAAAUAUCAUCCAUCCUAGGACGAUUCAUUCCCAGGACUUUAUAUAACAUGCAAAGUACUGUGAAGGGAAUAUUUUUAAUGUAUCUGCAAUUUGCUUUAGUAUCACAGAGUGAGAAGAAUGUCUUAAUUAGCUCGCUUUUCCCCAUUUCUGUAGCCUGUACUAUAGAUACAGAUAAUACUAUUCAAGAGGGAACAGAAGGUUGCAUUUUCAUUUGGAGUUGGCAAGUGGCACAUCAUUUCCAGAUUUAUGAAGGUGAAAAGCUCUAUAAAAACAGAAAAAUUUCUAUAUCUGCCAUAUUUACAAGAAUAUUGCUAAAUGCCCUGAAAACACAGAGAAAGAAAUGUCUACGUAAAGAAAUCUUUCAGGCAGCUUUUGUGUUUGCCUGGAUUUCUGUCUUUCUGAUGGAUUCCUACAGGUCAUAGAUCCUUUUAAAACAACGGUUGUAAAAGGAUCUGAAUGACCCACAAGUAUCUCUCUAGACCCUCCUCUUCUUGUCCUCUGCAAAGGCUAGUCUCCCCCUAAGUAACAGAUAAUCGUAAAAGUAGGGAAACUGAGUUGCCAGCAGCCAGGGUACUGCAGGUGUUUUGGCUAGAACAACUUGCCAUUUCCUCUCUGCAAGUAUUGGCUUAAGGUGGUGAUGGCUGGAGAUCAAAAAAGUAAUACUGAAGCAAAACUAACACAAUGGAAGUCAAGUACAAAAAGUAAUAGAACAGCAGUCUUCUCAGUCCCUUUCAUAAACAUGACGAAGGUUGUGAAACUACACAUUGUGUAAGAAGUCAGGAGCUCUGUUCACCUAGCAGGAAAGAACCAUUACAGGUUCCCUACAAAGUCAAGAAUUUACUGUCUCCCCCUUUUUUUUCCUAUAUAAACAAAUACAUUUUUCACUAGCAGUAAAAUAGAUGGAGGGAAUUAAUUUUUACUUAGUUAUUGUCUAGUGUGGCCAGAUGCCAGUUUGUAAGCCUGUCCUGGAUCAUAACCUGCCAUGAGUCUAGCCACAGCACCCUUCAGAGUGCCUUAUAUGCCACGUUCAGUGGUACUGGAUGCGAACAAGCUAUCGUUUCCUGGUGAGCAUGCAGACCUAGUGAGCAGACAGGCGCUGCAGCUCUAAGCCAGUUUUUAUAGCAGAGUACAGUCCUGUAAAGCCUUUCUCUCCUAAGUCACCCUAUCACAACAACGUUGGUGGGUUCCCAGGUCGAUCCUAACUGAAUUCCUGUACACAUAAAUAAGCUGUAACCAGUGGUCCCUCUUGCACCAGGACAUUCCUGUUCUGAACUCCUGAUUUGUAGUUAUUUCUAACAAGAAACCUUGCUCGCAUUUUAAAUUCUCGCCAGCCCCUUUGGGUAAGUGCAGAUCUGAAGCAUUUUGGGCUGGUCCCUGCUCAGUUAGAAAUGAUGCCUCAUGGCCACAGGGGGAGGCUUUCUGACACUUUCACAGAUAGAAAACACAAAAAAAUAAAACAAGAAGUGAAAAACAAAACAACCCCCUGCUGCUCCCUCUGCUCUAGCCUCAGAUUGUCCCACUUGGUUUCCAUUUAAACAUUGAGCAAGGCUGUGGGUAAGUUGUUUAAUAUGAACUAUUUAGUUACCCUGCUUUUACAAUAUUAAACUUGGCAAUUAUAAAUUUCAA